GGGUUGUGAGGUUAAGCGACUAAGCGUACACGGUGGAUGCCCUGGCAGUCAGAGGCGAUGAAGGACGUGCUAAUCUGCGAAAAGCGCCGGCGAGGUGAUAUGAACCUUUGACCCGGCGAUGUCCGAAUGGGGAAACCCAGUGCAAUUCGUUGCACUAUCGUUAACUGAAUACAUAGGUUAACGAGGCGAACCGGGGGAACUGAAACAUCUAAGUACCCCGAGGAAAAGAAAUCAACCGAGAUUCCCCCAGUAGCGGCGAGCGAACGGGGAGCAGCCCGGAGUCUGAAUCAGCUUGUGUGUUAGUGGAACGGUCUGGAAAGUCCGACGGUACAGGGUGAUAGUCCCGUACACGAAAGCACACUUGCUGUGAACUCGAAGAGUAGGGCGGGACACGUGGUAUCCUGUCUGAAUAUGGGGGGACCAUCCUCCAAGGCUAAAUACUCCUGACUGACCGAUAGUGAACCAGUACCGUGAGGGAAAGGCGAAAAGAACCCCGGCGAGGGGAGUGAAAAAGAACCUGAAACCGUGUACGUACAAGCAGUGGGAGCCUCUUUAUGGGGUGACUGCGUACCUUUUGUAUAAUGGGUCAGCGACUUAUAUUCUGUAGCAAGGUUAACCGUAUAGGGGAGCCGAAGGGAAACCGAGUCUUAACUGGGCGUUAAGUUGCAGGGUAUAGACCCGAAACCCGGUGAUCUAGCCAUGGGCAGGUUGAAGGUUGGGUAACACUAACUGGAGGACCGAACCGACUAAUGUUGAAAAAUUAGCGGAUGACCUGUGGCUGGGGGUGAAAGGCCAAUCAAACCGGGAGAUAGCUGGUUCUCCCCGAAAGCUAUUUAGGUAGCGCCUCGUGAACUCAUCUUCGGGGGUAGAGCACUGUUUCGGCUAGGGGGCCAUCCCGGCUUACCAACCCGAUGCAAACUACGAAUACCGAAGAAUGUUAUCACGGGAGACACACGGCGGGUGCUAACGUCCGUCGUGAAGAGGGAAACAACCCAGACCGCCAGCUAAGGUCCCAAAGUCAUGGUUAAGUGGGAAACGAUGUGGGAAGGCACAGACAGCCAGGAUGUUGGCUUAGAAGCAGCCAUCAUUUAAAGAAAGCGUAAUAGCUCACUGGUCGAGUCGGCCUGCGCGGAAGAUGUAACGGGGCUAAACCAUGCACCGAAGCUGCGGCAGCGACGCUUAGGCGUUGUUGGGUAGGGGAGCGUUCUGUAAGCCGUUGAAGGUGUCCUGUGAGGGGUGCUGGAGGUAUCAGAAGUGCGAAUGCUGACAUAAGUAACGAUAAAGCGGGUGAAAAGCCCGCUCGCCGGAAGACCAAGGGUUCCUGUCCAACGUUAAUCGGGGCAGGGUGAGUCGACCCCUAAGGCGAGGCCGAAAGGCGUAGUCGAUGGGAAACAGGUUAAUAUUCCUGUACUUGGUGUUACUGCGAAGGGGGGACGGAGAAGGCUAUGUCAGCCGGGCGACGGUUGUCCCGGUUUAAGCAUGUAGGCGGAGGUUCCAGGUAAAUCCGGUACCUUGUUAACGCUGAGGUGUGAUGACGAGGCACUACGGUGCUGAAGUGAUAAAUGCCCUGCUUCCAGGAAAAGCCUCUAAGCAUCAGGUAACACGAAAUCGUACCCCAAACCGACACAGGUGGUCAGGUAGAGAAUACCAAGGCGCUUGAGAGAACUCGGGUGAAGGAACUAGGCAAAAUGGUGCCGUAACUUCGGGAGAAGGCACGCUGAU
Molecule: ribosomal RNA, 1722 nt
Filed under: Enterobacter hormaechei
Lineage: Bacteria; Pseudomonadati; Pseudomonadota; Gammaproteobacteria; Enterobacterales; Enterobacteriaceae
Description: partial 23S ribosomal RNA
Rfam family: Bacterial large subunit ribosomal RNA
Source: RNAcentral